UACGGAGGGAGCUAGCGUUGUUCGGAAUUACUGGGCGUAAAGCGCACGUAGGCGGCUUUUUAAGUCAGGGUGAAAUCCCGGGGCUCAACCCCGGAACUGCCCUUGAAACUGGAGAGCUAGAAUCUUGGAGAGGCGAGUGGAAUUCCGAGUGUAGAGGUGAAAUUCGUAGAUAUUCGGAAGAACACCAGUGGCGAAGGCGGCUCACUGGACUGGUAUUGACGCUGAGGUGCGAAAGCGUGGGGAGCAAACAGGG
This 253-nucleotide ribosomal RNA is filed under the name uncultured bacterium. Its description in RNAcentral is "partial 16S ribosomal RNA". It matches the Rfam family "Bacterial small subunit ribosomal RNA", at positions 524 to 777 of the family's 1533-position model. The record is from RNAcentral.